CCCUUAGAUGUUCUGGGCCGCACGCGCGCUACACUGACGAAUUCAACGAGCUUAUAACCUUGGCCGAAAGGUCUGGGUAAUCUCCAAAUUUCGUCGUGAUGGGGAUAGAUUAUUGCAAUUAUUAAUCUUCAACGAGGAAUGCCUAGUAAGCGCAAGUCAUCAGCUUGCGUUGAUUACGUCCCUGCCCUUUGUACACACCGCCCGUCGCUCCUACCGAUUGAAUGGUCCGGUGAAGCGUUCGGACCGUGGCCUUUGGACGGUUCGCCGUCUGUUGGCUGCGGGAAGUUCGUUAAACCUUAUCAUUUAGAGGAAGGAGAANUCGUANCA
Molecule: ribosomal RNA, 327 nt
Filed under: uncultured eukaryote
Lineage: Eukaryota
Description: partial 18S ribosomal RNA
Rfam family: Eukaryotic small subunit ribosomal RNA
Source: RNAcentral